UGUGUGGCUCAGUGUCCAUUAGGUCAAGUGAGGUUGUUUAGGUUUUACAAGUCCUUGCUUAUCAGCAACCUACUUGUUCUACAAUUACUAGGCGAAGUGUUGAAGCCUCCAGCUGCAAGGAUGGAUUGAUUGAUGUUCUUGCUGUUCUGUCAGGCUUUGCCUCCUGUGUUCUGAAGCUCCGUGACUGACGCAUGCAUUUCUACAGGGAGCUCCUGAGUCAGACGCUGCAUUUGACGGGGACCUCGGGGAGCCAACAUAGCAAGCUGUAGCCCAUGGGCAGUGGCGCCAGGAGAAACCAGCCCAGGCCAGAGGCGCGGCCCUCUUCCGGUUAUCCUGCUGUGUACAUGAACUCCGAGGGACUCGGUCAUACACCCACGAGCAGGUAAGGCUUUCAAUGACAGUUCUAACUUCAAAUAUCCUGUCUAUUGUCAAAUUAUACGUUUUUGCUCUGAAAACAUAGUAACUAUCCAUCUAAUAUAGAGCAAGCCUGUCAAACCCACAGCUCGCAGGCCACAUGCAGCCCACAACGAAUAUUUUUG
Myotis brandtii (Brandt's bat) is the source of this 539-nucleotide long non-coding RNA. RefSeq lists it as uncharacterized. The transcript is spliced from 3 exons. The record is from RefSeq and is a predicted model, not a curated record. NCBI's taxonomy places the organism in Eukaryota, Metazoa, Chordata, Mammalia, Chiroptera, Vespertilionidae.